CAAGUCCCUCUCCUCAGGGCUGCUCUCCAGCCAUUCUCCACCUAGCCUGGAUUUGUGCUUGGGGUGGAGCUUGAAAGACCCCACAGGUCCCCCCCUACAGACUCCUGUCCCCAGGCAGCACCUUGUUCCAUCCUCAAGGGUGAUUUGCCCCAGGGUUUCACCCUCUGCUCUCACCACGAUACCGUGGGUCAAACCCACCCCCAUUUCAGGUGGAAAUGGCCCUGUCCUGAAGCAGGACACAGCCCCGUGCUCCUGGAAAACCUGCCUGCCUGAACCCAGGCCAUGGGAUGUCCCGGAGAUCAAAUGCUCCCUCCAUUGCUUCCAGCACCAGCUCCGACAGCGACUCUGCCAGCUGGGAAACCACCCCACAGCAGGUACCACAGCUCAGCACCACCUUCAGGGGUGCAGAUGGAACCCCCCCGCCUCGUUAAGGGGUGUGGGAGGGUUGUUGUCCCCUUUCCAUGUGGGAGAGAGGAGCAACAAGACCAGGAACAUUGGGGAAAACAUCCCAAAAUCCCCCCAAUUCUUUCUUCAUCCACAUCAUUCUCUCCCAUGCCCUCACCAUCUCCUUCCUCCUUUCUCCCCACACUGGGGGGGAUCUUUCCAACCCGUCUCCCCCCAAAAAUUGAGCACCUGGAGGGGCUCAAAGAGCAGGAAGAGCCUCCAGGGGAUGAAGGAGGGCUCACACUCCUCCUCUGCCACAGGCCCCGGGGCUUGCCAGCUCUGUCCCAUGGGCUGGCAGCCCUUCGCAGCCAAGUGCUACUGGGUUUCCACCAAAACCGAAGCCUGGAAGAUGGCGGCAGAAAACUGUCAGCACAAGGGAGCUCAACUGGUCAUACUGGAGAGCCUGGAGGAGAAGGCUUUCAUCGAGGGGAUGACGGGAAAAACCUCCAUGGCCUGGAUGGGACUGAGGAUCCACCAGGGGAGAGAGACCGAGUGGACGUGGGAGGACGGGUCCCCUUUACAGAAAGCCUUGUGAGUGCCCUCCCUGGGGGGGGUCAUGAUAAUCACAUCCCAGGGCAAAUAAUUCCCAGCCCCAUGCUCACCACAGACCUUUGCUGCCCCCCAAAAAUCCCUCCAGAACCAGCACUCACGAGAGCAAAUUAAACCACAGCAAUGUGGGUCUGGUCUCUGCUAAACAGG
RNAcentral lists this long non-coding RNA (1143 nucleotides) under Calidris pygmaea (Spoon-billed sandpiper). RNAcentral's name for it is "lncRNA (ENSCPGG00000014355.1)". The record is from RNAcentral. Lineage: Eukaryota; Metazoa; Chordata; Aves; Charadriiformes; Scolopacidae.